Oncorhynchus tshawytscha (Chinook salmon) is the source of this 2172-nucleotide long non-coding RNA. NCBI's taxonomy places the organism in Eukaryota, Metazoa, Chordata, Actinopteri, Salmoniformes, Salmonidae. The record is from Ensembl.
GUUAGGAAGGUGGUUCUUUUACGCCUGCUACGUUAGGUUAGGAAGGUUGUUCUUUUACGCCUGCUACGUUAGGUUAGGAAGGUGGUUCUUUUACGCCUGCUACGUUAGGAAGGUGGUUCUUUUACGCCUGCUACGUUAGGUUAGGAAGGUGGUUCUUUUAUGCCUGCUACGUUAGGUUAGGAAGGUGGUUCUUUUACGCCUGCUACGUUAGGUUAGGAAGGUGGUUCUUUUACGCCUGCUACGUUAGGAAGGUGGUUCUUUUACGCCUGCUAAGUUAGGGAGGUGUAGAUGAGCUACGUUGGGGAGGUGUAGAUGAGCUACGUUGGGGAGGUGUAGAUGAGCUACGUUGGGGAGGUGUAGAUGAGCUACGUUGGGGAGGUGUAGAUGAGCUACGUUGGGGAGGUGUAGAUGAGCUACGUUGGGGAGGUGUAAAUGACAGAAUCAGAGACCAGACCACCUUUCAUCUGUUUCUAUAUGAUCAGAUGACCAUACAUGAGGAUGAUGGAUUUCUGCUUAUUGGUUAAGAGGGAGAACAGAUGUUUGAACACACACACACAUAGACACAGCUGCCCUGUCACCUGAGGUUCAGAGCCACACACAGACACAGCUGCCUGGCACCUGAGGUUCAGAGCCACACACAGACACAGCUGCCUGUCACCUGAGGUUCAGAGCCACACACAGACACAGCUGCCUGUCACCUGAGGUUCAGAGCCAGACACAGCUGCCUGUCACCUGAGGUUCAGAGCCACACACAGACACAGCUGCCUGUCACCCGAGGUUCAGAGCCACACACAGACACAGCAGCCCUGGUUCAGAGCCACACCCCCAAUUCAUUCAUGCCUUUCUUAGUUAAUAUUUGGUGUCACCCUCCACCACUUACAGUUAAUUUCCUUCAAAAACAACAAAAAUUAACAGCCGGUCUGUAGUUAUUUCAAAAUGUAUAAUUUCACGAUUGCUGCACAGGUGAAACUGCACAGGUAAAAAAUUGCAAGAGGGUCACCACAGGGAGUAAACAUCAAAUAAGUGGGCUAUACGUUUGCUUUUAUGUCAUCCAUUUAUUGCUGUUUUCUGUAUUCCUGCUCUGUGUGCAGAAUGAAGUGUGCAUGUAGUAGUGUUGUAAAUCUACUGGUCUCUAUUGGUGAAUUAUCAAUGCUGUACAAUGUACAUUUUACUGUUGAACUCACAAAGGUCUGGGCUAAUGCUUUUCCCCACAGGGUGCCAAGACACAAGUAAGCACAACGCAACUGUGAGACAGUUAUUAUGGGACUCUUAUUACAUUUGGCGCAUCCACACGCUCUCUCUCCCUUUGUCUCAAACACACACACACACUCUCUCCCUUUGUCUCAAACACACCCUCUCUCUUUGUCUCAAACACACCCUCUCUCUCUUUCUCUCUGUCUCAAACACUCUGUCUCAAACACUCUCGCUCUCCCUUUGUCUCAAACACACCCUCUCUCUUUGUCUCAAACACACCCUCUCUCUUUGUCUCAAACACACCCUCUCUCUCUUUCUCUCUGUCUCAAACACUCUUUGUCUCAAACACACCCUCUCUCUUUGUCUCAAACACACCCUCUCUCUUUGUCUCAAACACACCCUCUCUCUCUUUCUCUCUGUCUCAAACACUCUGUCUCAAACACUCUCGCUCUCCCUUUGUCUCAAACACACACACUCUCUUCCUUUGUCUCAAACACACUCUCUCCCACUGUCUCAAACACUCUCUCUCUGUCGCCCUUUGUCUCAAAACACACACACAAUCACUCCCCUGGUCUCAAACACACUCUCUCCCCCUGUCUCAAACACUCAGUCCCUCUCUAAAACACACACUCUCUCUCUCUCCCUCUCUUUUUCUCUCUCUCCCCGUCUCAAACGCUCUCUCUCUCUCUGUCUCAAACACUCUUUCUCCCCCCCUUGUCUCAAACACUCUCACGCUGGCACGCACACACUCCUUCUCUCCUCCCUUUGUCUGUCUGUCUGUCUCUCUCUCACACACACGCACAUACACACACCAUCACAAAAAAGGUCACAGAACACAUUUGACAAGGAGUUAUCCCUCCCAACUCAUACUGAAGCACUUUCAUUACUCCAGUGCCAUGUUAAAGUCCUGCCUCUUCCUGUGGGAAUGGGUGAGGGAGAGUUAUGUCCCAUGUCAACACAGCUUAGAGGCCUUCCCAG